CCUACGGGAGGCAGCAGUGGGGAAUAUUGGACAAUGGGCGAAAGCCUGAUCCAGCAAUGCCGCGUGAGUGAUGAAGGCCUUCGGGUCGUAAAGCUCUUUUACCAGGGAUGAUAAUGACAGUACCUGGAGAAUAAGCUCCGGCUAACUCCGUGCCAGCAGCCGCGGUAAUACGGAGGGAGCUAGCGUUGUUCGGAAUUACUGGGCGUAAAGAGUACGUAGGCGGUUAUUCAAGUCAGAGGUGAAAGCCCGGGGCUCAACCCCGGAACUGCCUUUGAAACUAGAUAACUAGAGUCUUGGAGAGGUUAGUGGAAUUCCGAGUGUAGAGGUGAAAUUCGUAGAUAUUCGGAAGAACACCAGUGGCGAAGGCGACUAACUGGACAAGUACUGACGCUGAGGUACGAAAGCGUGGGGAGCAAACAGGAUUAGAUACCCUGGUAGUCCACGCCGUAAACGAUGAUAACUAGUUGUUCGGUCACUUGGUGUACUGUAGUGACGCAGACUACGACAUUAAGUUAUCCGUCCGUCGGGUAGGUACGGUCGUCGAGAAUUAAAACUAACAAUAAGUAAUUAGUACGGCGUGAGACGUGCCGAACGGACGACGACGAGGGAGGUAGG
Molecule: ribosomal RNA, 615 nt
Filed under: uncultured bacterium
Lineage: Bacteria
Description: bacterial SSU rRNA
Rfam family: Bacterial small subunit ribosomal RNA (bases 1-521)
Source: RNAcentral